CAGCCGCCGCGGGAAAACGUAGGGUGCAAGCGUUAAUCGGAAUUACUGGGCGUAAAGCGUGCGCAGGCGGUUGUGUAAGACAGAUGUGAAAUCCCCGGGCUCAACCUGGGAACUGCAUUUGUGACUGGCAGGCUAGAGUAUGGCAGAGGGGGGUGGAAUUCCGCGUGUAGCAGUGAAAUGCGUAGAUAUGCGGAGGAACACCGAUGGCGAAGGCAGCCCCCUGGGCCAAUACUGACGCUCAUGCACGAAAGCGUGGGGAGCAAACAGGAUUAGAUACCCGGGUAGUCCCUGUCUCUUAUAA
RNAcentral lists this ribosomal RNA (301 nucleotides) under uncultured bacterium. Its description in RNAcentral is "partial 16S ribosomal RNA". It matches the Rfam family "Bacterial small subunit ribosomal RNA", at positions 509 to 809 of the family's 1533-position model. The record is from RNAcentral.